GUCUACGGCCAUACCACCCUGAAAGCGCCCGAUCUCGUCUGAUCUCGGAAGCUAAGCAGGGACGGGCUUGGUUAGUACCUGGAUGGGAGACCGCCUGGGAAUACCAGGUGUUGUAGGCU
This 119-nucleotide ribosomal RNA is filed under the name Xenopus tropicalis (tropical clawed frog). Lineage: Eukaryota; Metazoa; Chordata; Amphibia; Anura; Pipidae. The record is from RNAcentral.